Molecule: ribosomal RNA, 1515 nt
Filed under: Triticum aestivum (bread wheat)
Lineage: Eukaryota; Viridiplantae; Streptophyta; Magnoliopsida; Poales; Poaceae
Description: partial small subunit ribosomal RNA
Source: RNAcentral
AUGCUUAGAUCGGAGCACAUGCAGGGCAAUGCUGAUGCGGUGGGUGAUGGGUGUGUUGAUGGUGAUGCUCUUGGGAAGAGAACCAUUGUACCUUCCAGCCAUACUGGUGGUCGCCGCUAUUACAAUGAAAAUUUCCAUGAUGGUCUCGCGGUUUGUCGAGUGCAUGGUGCGCCAGAUGUGUUUGCUACUUUCACUUGCAAUCCCAAAUGGCCUGAGAUCACCAAUGCAUUGGAGCCCGGUCAGACUCCUUCUGACAGGGCAGAUAUUGUUGUUAGGGUCUAUCACAUGAAGCUCAUCGAAUACUUAGACGAGAUCAGAUCCGGACGGGCUUUUGGUGCAGUUACUGCUGUUUUGUAUACCGCUGAGUUCCAAAAGCGGGGCCUGCCUCACGCGCACAUACUCGUGUGGAGGAAAGGAGGCAACGGUGAGAUCGGUGUUGAAAGUAUUAAUUCGUUCAUAUCUACUGAGAUACCUGAUCCAUUACUUGAUCCUCUAGGAUAUGCAUUAGUUUCUGAAUUCAUGAUGCACGGUCCGUGUGGUGAUAUGAAUGAUAAGUGCGUCUGCAUGAAAAAUGGUGUUUGUUCUAAAUAUUUUCCUAAGGAUUUUAGAGAUGCCACUAUUGUUGAUGAUAAUGGGUUUGUCUUGUAUCGGCGUCGCGACGAUGGUCGAAGGGUCUAUAAAAAUGGUCAUUAUCUUGAUAAUAGGCACGUUGUUCCUUAUAACAUGGCAAUGCUUAAGAAAUUCCAGGGCCAUAUAAAUGUAGAGUUGUGUAAUAAGACGCAGGUUAUGAAAUACCUCUUUAAGUAUGUGACUAAAGGCGCUGACUACUCUAAGGUCAUGUUAGAGAGGCUAAAAACGUUAAAUAAAGAUGGUCGUCGCACGGUAGAUGAGAUUCAGGAGUAUCUGAUAUGUCGCUAUAUAUGUGAGUAUGAUGCACUAUGGCGUAUAUUUGGAUUUGAAAUACAUUAUAAAAUGCCAUCCGUUCAAAGGAUGACUGUUCAUAUGCCUGGUAUGAAUACUGUUUACUAUCGUCCUGGUGCUGAUCUUACCAAAAUUGUUGAUUCUGAAUUCUUGCAAAAGACUAUGCUUACUGAAUGGUUCGUUGCAAAUGAGAUGUUUGAAGAUGCUCGCUCAUUGACGUACUGUGAUUUUCCAACUGCUUGGACAUGGGAAGCUAAAGGUAGAUCAUGGCAUCCAAGGGGUGGGGGGCAAAAGAUAGGCCGCGUAUAUUAUGUACAUCCUUUGAGUGGUGAGUUGUAUUACUUGCGCAUGCUCUUGAUGAUUGUUAGAGGGGCUACGUCUUACGAGUGUCUCCGGUCGUACAAUGGUCGUCUUUACAAUAGUUUUAAAGAAGCUUGUGCUGCCCGUGGUUUGUUAGGGGACGACAACGAGUGGUAUGUAGCAUUUGAUGAGGUAGUUGUCUGGGGGUUUGGCCAUCGGCUUAGGCAGUUGUUUGUGACCAUGCUCAUGCAUUGUUCUAUCAAAGAUGAGCUUGUUUUUUUAGCAUUACUUUGA